AUUGAACGCUGGCGGCAGGCCUAACACAUGCCAGUCGAGCGGAUGAAGGGAGCUUGCUCCUGGAUUCAGCGGCGGACGGGUGAGUAAUGCCUAGGAAUCUGCCUGGUAGUGGGGGAUAACGUCCGGAAACGGGCGCUAAUACCGCAUACGUCCUGAGGGAGAAAGUGGGGGAUCUUCGGACCUCACGCUAUCAGAUGAGCCUAGGUCGGAUUAGCUAGUUGGUGGGGUAAAGGCCUACCAAGGCGACGAUCCGUAACUGGUCUGAGAGGAUGAUCAGUCACACUGGAACUGAGACACGGUCCAGACGCCUACGGGAGGCAGCAGUGGGGAAUAUUGGACAAUGGGCGAAAGCCUGAUCCAGCCAUGCCGCGUGUGUGAAGAAGGUCUUCGGAUUGUAAAGCACUUUAAGUUGGGAGGAAGGGCAGUAAGUUAAUACCUUGCUGUUUUGACGGUACCAACAGAAUAAGCACCGGCUAACUUCGUG
RNAcentral lists this ribosomal RNA (484 nucleotides) under uncultured bacterium. RNAcentral's name for it is "partial 16S ribosomal RNA". It matches the Rfam family "Bacterial small subunit ribosomal RNA", at positions 30 to 507 of the family's 1533-position model. The record is from RNAcentral.